Long non-coding RNA from Astatotilapia calliptera (eastern happy), 1516 nucleotides. The record is from Ensembl. Lineage: Eukaryota; Metazoa; Chordata; Actinopteri; Cichliformes; Cichlidae.
AACAGCUGAAAAAGCUGAUUAAUUAAGCCUUUGUCACUAAUUGCAACUCCUGACAUCUUGGAAAAAAGAAUCAGUGUAUUAUAUUGAUAGCAGAUGCAAUAAUUGUAUUCCAUAAGAAACAAAAUGUUGAUUUGGAAAAAUGGUGGUUAAAGUUUACUUAGUUCUAUAGGUAUUGCUCUUUGAUUUUUACUGUGCAGAAGGCACGCUUUGUUAAACUGCAUUUGCCUUCAGGGCGUGGUGCUAAAUAACAGGUUGUAAGUAAGAUAAUGAAGAUUUAGCACCUUGAAAAGUAAUGCUACCUCAUAUCAUUUAUGCUAUCAGUGUAAAGUGAGGACAAUUAUUCUCCACUGUAAUCUCACUGCAGACAACACCCUCUGACUGAUGGAGCUUUAGGACCAGGAAGUGGAGCGAAUGACCUUUCCAUCUUGCUUCUGUUUCAGCUGCAACAAAAAAGAGAGACUAACUAAUCUGAACGUCUGUGGAAACAGUGCAGUUCAUUUAAAGGUUUAAACCAUGCCACAUGUCUCUUUUAUAACUUUAUUAACAAGGCACUCCACUCGGGGAGGAAUUGGCAAACCUAUUGGUGACUAUGAGUUGUGUUUACCAGCAUGCAGCCAGUGCGUGUGGAAUCCAUGGUGGUGAUUGAACUGAGACAGGAGGUUGACUGCUGGUAGGUUUGCUUUUAAUGGGGCUAGAUUCUAUCAAUCUGACUUUAACUCAGUGUGUCUGGCAUUUCCCCCAGUCCUGGGGCUUAGCAUUGCUGUCAGACAAUGCUAUAAGCUUUCAGAUCUUUCCACUUCUUAAAAAAAAAAAAAAAAAGCCAGAUUCACUGUUUCGGGUUGAGGCAGAAAACUUCACUCAGCCAUGUGAGACAGUGGGAGGCGGCUUGGCGAAGCCGAGACUUCACACCAAAUAGAUAAUGACACACAGUUAAAUCAUCCACCUCCCAGCUGUAUGUUUAUCUCUUCGGUCUUUAUCAUUUUUGUGUCUGUCUGGAUCCAUCUGUAUGGAAAAUAUAGUUAUUGUAUCCAAGUAGCCAACACACAAACAACUGGCUCUAAACCCAGAGAUUUUCACUCAUCACUUGAUUUUUAUUCGCAAUUUCUCUGUCCUUACACGACCUCUGUAUGUCCUGUGCUCAGUUGCUUCAGUGUAUGAUUCUCUCAGUAAUACUCUCACCUACAAACCCCUGCAGCUCGAGGAGGAUGAUAUCGUACUUGUGUAACUAUAUAUAAGUAAUAUGUAACCUUUGUGUGUGUUCUUACCUUUUAGAUUUUAAUUGAAUUUGCAUUUUUGUGCUUUUUUGUUUUGUUUGGGGGGGUUGGUUGUAUAUAUUGUACUAUUCUUAGUUAGCGUAUUGUCUGUCUUGUCUUAAUGUUGGUUUAAAAUGGAGCACUGUAACAAAAAAUAAUUUCCCCCAGGGAUCAAUAAAGUAUUCUGAUUCUGAUUCUGAUUCUGAUUUUUGCUUUUUGGAAGCAAAACAUCACACGUUUUAUAUUUCAUAUUAUGUCUUCUG